GUCUACGGCCAUACCACCCUGAACGCACCCGAUCUCGUCUGAUCUCAGAAGCUAAGCAGGGUCGGGCCUGGUUAAUACUUGGAUGGGAGAAUCAAACACCAAACAUAUAAAAUCCUGGUGGUUAGGCA
Molecule: ribosomal RNA, 128 nt
Filed under: Neogale vison (American mink)
Lineage: Eukaryota; Metazoa; Chordata; Mammalia; Carnivora; Mustelidae
Source: RNAcentral